UAGGGAAUCUUCGGCAAUGGGGGGAACCCUGACCGAGCAACGCCGCGUGCGUGAAGAAGGUUUUCGGAUCGUAAAGCUCUGUUGUUAAGGAAGAACGAGUGUGAGAAUGGAAAGUUCAUACUGUGACGGUACUUAACCAGAAAGGGACGGCUAACUACUUGCCAGCAGCCGCGGUAAUACGCAGGUCCCGAGCGUUGUCCGGAUUUAUUGGGCGUAAAGCGAGCGCAGGCGGUUAGAUAAGGCUGAAGUUAAAGGCAGUGGCUCAACCAUUGUAGGCUUUGGAAACUGUUUAACUUGAGUGCGGAAGGGGAGAGUGGAAUUCCAUGUGUAGCGGUGGAAUGCGUAGAUAUAUGGAGGAACACCGGUGGCGAAAGCGGCUCUCUGGUCUGUAACUGACGCUGAGGCUCGAAAGCGUGGGGAGCGAACAGG
Molecule: ribosomal RNA, 429 nt
Filed under: Bacteroidota bacterium
Lineage: Bacteria; Pseudomonadati; Bacteroidota
Description: Bacteroidetes bacterium partial 16S ribosomal RNA
Rfam family: Bacterial small subunit ribosomal RNA
Source: RNAcentral